Molecule: ribosomal RNA, 1442 nt
Filed under: uncultured organism
Description: 16S ribosomal RNA
Rfam family: Bacterial small subunit ribosomal RNA
Source: RNAcentral
CAGGCUUAACACAUGCAAGUCGAGGGGCAUCAGGAAGAAAGCUUGCUUUCUUUGCUGGCGACCGGCGCACGGGUGAGUAACACGUAUCCAACCUGCCCUUUACUCGGGGAUAGCCUUUCGAAAGAAAGAUUAAUACCCGAUAGCAUAAUGAUUCCGCAUGGUUUCAUUAUUAAAGGAUUCCGGUAAAGGAUGGGGAUGCGUUCCAUUAGGUUGUUGGUGAGGUAACGGCCCACCAAGCCUUCGAUGGAUAGGGGUUCUGAGAGGAAGGUCCCCCACAUUGGAACUGAGACACGGUCCAAACUCCUACGGGAGGCAGCAGUGAGGAAUAUUGGUCAAUGGGCGCUAGCCUGAACCAGCCAAGUAGCGUGAAGGAUGAAGGCUCUAUGGGUCGUAAACUUCUUUUAUAUAAGAAUAAAGUGCAGUAUGUAUACUGUUUUGUAUGUAUUAUAUGAAUAAGGAUCGGCUAACUCCGUGCCAGCAGCCGCGGUAAUACGGAGGAUCCGAGCGUUAUCCGGAUUUAUUGGGUUUAAAGGGAGCGUAGGUGGACUGGUAAGUCAGUUGUGAAAGUUUGCGGCUCAACCGUAAAAUUGCAGUUGAUACUGUCAGUCUUGAGUACAGUAGAGGUGGGCGGAAUUCGUGGUGUAGCGGUGAAAUGCUUAGAUAUCACGAAGAACUCCGAUUGCGAAGGCAGCUCACUGGACUGCAACUGACACUGAUGCUCGAAAGUGUGGGUAUCAAACAGGAUUAGAUACCCUGGUAGUCCACACAGUAAACGAUGAAUACUCGCUGUUUGCGAUAUACAGUAAGCGGCCAAGCGAAAGCAUUAAGUAUUCCACCUGGGGAGUACGCCGGCAACGGUGAAACUCAAAGGAAUUGACGGGGGCCCGCACAAGCGGAGGAACAUGUGGUUUAAUUCGAUGAUACGCGAGGAACCUUACCCGGGCUUAAAUUGCAGUGGAAUGAUGUGGAAACAUGUCAGUGAGCAAUCACCGCUGUGAAGGUGCUGCAUGGUUGUCGUCAGCUCGUGCCGUGAGGUGUCGGCUUAAGUGCCAUAACGAGCGCAACCCUUAUCUUUAGUUACUAACAGGUUAUGCUGAGGACUCUAGAGAGACUGCCGUCGUAAGAUGUGAGGAAGGUGGGGAUGACGUCAAAUCAGCACGGCCCUUACGUCCGGGGCUACACACGUGUUACAAUGGGGGGGUACAGAAGGCAGCUAGCGGGUGACCGUAUGCUAAUCCCAAAAUCCUCUCUCAGUUCGGAUCGAAGUCUGCAACCCGACUUCGUGAAGCUGGAUUCGCUAGUAAUCGCGCAUCAGCCACGGCGCGGUGAAUACGUUCCCGGGCCUUGUACACACCGCCCGUCAAGCCAUGGGAGCCGGGGGUACCUGAAGUACGUAACCGCAAGGAUCGUCCUAGGGUAAAACUGGUGACUGGGGCUAAGUC